Molecule: unclassified non-coding RNA, 1386 nt
Filed under: Caenorhabditis elegans
Lineage: Eukaryota; Metazoa; Nematoda; Chromadorea; Rhabditida; Rhabditidae
Description: Non-coding transcript of protein-coding gene H24K24.2f
Source: RNAcentral
GACAACUUCAACAUGCUUGUUCGACCUCUGGAUAGAACAGCCAGCGACAAAAUGUUCAGUGAGUUGAUGAAAUUAAAAUUCGGACUUUGCGAAGAGGCACUGACUCGAUUUGGACAUUUUUUCUGCUUGAAGAAAGUCGACUUAUUCAAUUACCACGUUAGCAAAGAACUUGUUGAAGCGAUUAGAUGUCAAAAUUUGGAGUCACUUAGCCUCGGAAACUUAGAUUGGGUCAAACGUGGCAGGAGAUUCAUGAACGGUUACGAUAUAGUACGUUUUUUGGAAAGUUUUCUCAACGAAGAAUCUCGUAAUGUACUUCACAGUUUAGAAAUCACGAUGGAGAGUCCAUUUGCCAAGGAAUGGCCAGCAAAGAUAAAUAAUAUGCUGCCCGCUUUGAAAUGCUUUGCAAUCAAUGGACAAGUGAAUGACGAUGAGUUUUCCCAUCUUUGCAUUGGUUUUUCCAAUUUACGUGUGUUGGAUAUUAGUAAUACAAACAUCAGAAACCUUUCCGGAAUGAAGAUGCUAGUUAAUUUACAAAUACUUUCAAUGAGAAACUUGGACAUUAACCAAACAUCUGAUUUAAUAGAACUAUUUUCAUUAACCAAGUUAACCGUUUUGGAUGUAUCGCAAGAUAAGUUGCGAUUUGAAAAACUUCUCUAAAUGUGGUACUCGCAUUUUCUAUUGCACGUCAAUCGAAUCAUUGUUCAGAAGCUUAAUUGACUUCACAAAUUUGAAAAAUGAGCUAGCAACUUGUAGAUGUUUAGAAGAACUGCACCGACAACUAAAUGCUUCUCGUAGCACCGAAAACUUGCAUUACUCGAGUUUAUUGAAACUGGUUAUUCAAACUAUGAACAUGUUCACGUCGAGAUCAACCUUAAUUAAUGGUCUUCAGUGCUUGAUUUGGAUAAUAAACCACAAAAUGGAUCAAAUUGGUCCAGUUAAUAUGUUUUUCACACUUAAAAAACUCCUGAGCUUAGCUGAUUUGUUGCCGGAAACGUAUUCAAAUGCGGAAAUAAUACGGUCAAAUCGAUUAUAUUGGGAUGCAAUUGUUAAACUUACAAAUUCGGAAAACACCAAUUUUGAUGAAAUCUGCUGGACAGCAAUGAACAUGAUGUCGAAAGUAACCUAUGCAGCUGGGUCAGGAAUGCGUUCAAAAGCUGGGAUUCAGAACGAGCGUACAUUGUUUUCUCAAUUCUUGCCAUAUUUAUGAAUAAAGCUAAGAACACAUCAACUCAGGAUGAACUUUGGAAUUUGAUUAAUAUGUCCAUGAUGCAAAUUUAUUGUCGGUUAAGCCAACCGAAAAUUUAUCCAUUUAUCUUGAAAAUUCUAUUCUUCAACGCGUUCUCGAAACUUCAAAGGAUGACGGUCCCAUUAUUUGGGCACUUUUAA